This is a non-coding RNA of Homo sapiens (human), 112 nucleotides long. It matches the Rfam family "Mitochondrial DNA control region secondary structure A". The record is from Rfam. NCBI's taxonomy places the organism in Eukaryota, Metazoa, Chordata, Mammalia, Primates, Hominidae.
AUUCUCUGUGGCACGCACUUUAACUACAAUGUAAGUAUUGACCAUCAGCACUAAUACAUUAAUACUUUUAUGUACUUUGUGCAUGACUGCUAGUCCCCAUGGAUAAUAUAUA